UUUAUCGGGGGUUUCCGCUUUUGCUUCGUCUCUCAUUUUCUCUUGCUGCCGCGAUGUACGAAGUCUUUUUUGCCUGCCGUGAUGAUUUUGAGGCCUCCCCAGCCAUGUGAAACUGAUUGAAUUCACAGUUCCAUGUUGUAUUUUGUUGUCAUGUCUCCUUGGUUGGCAAUAUAUGAACGUAUCUCAGUCAUGGAAGACGUUGACACUUUUGAAGAGUACAGACAUGGAUUCUCACUAUGACACCCAGGCUGGAGUGCAGUGGCACGAUCAUAGCUGACUACAGCCUCGAAUUUCUGGGCUCAAGCAAGGCUUUCAUCUCAACCUCCCCAAGAGCUGGGAUUACAGAUGGUGUCAGAAGCAGGGUUCAAAGUAGAGCUUUAAUGACCCCCAGAAGUGCUGAGUGAACAAGCAAGGUACCUGCAAGGACCCACUUGUGUCCUUUGAUCUCUCAGAGCAGUGGGUAAGUUCUCUCUCAGAUUUUGGAGUGCCACAGAUUUGUGUUUUGAGCUUUCUGAUUUUCUUUGAGCAAAUUUCUGUUCUAAACUGGGUUUGGAAGUAACAACAGAAACUGGACUGAGUCCAGGGUCAGAUUUGAUCUGGUAAUUAACUGGCUUGGAUCUAGUUAGAGGCCUCUUACAUCUGACUGGGUCAGAAAGAAACUGGUAGUAAAUGGUAAUGUUGUUGGGGUUGUAAAGUUUGGCUUUCGAAAAUUUGCGGGGAUUUUUGUGUUCUACCCCUUUGUUUCAUAGAAAAAUCAUUGGCUAAGGCAAUCAAGGGAACCUGAGAGUAAAGCCAAUAUUUUAGGUAAAAAUGGGAUCCUUAAUUUCUAAAAGACUGAUUUCCUUUCAACUUAAACAUUAGGCUCAGGAAGCAACAAAGUCUUACGGAAAUGGUGAAGUCUUACCAAAGAUAACUUACAGUGGAACAUUCUGAAUGAACAACGAUGUAUUGAAGUGAAUUUAAAAACGAGGGCUCCCAAAAUUACAUCUACUGACUUUUAAGCUUAGUUACUAUUCCGAUCCAAAGGAAAUAGACUGCAACACCAAUUGGCUGACUUUGGAUAAGUAUUGCCGUACAUUUCACCUGAGUAAAGGAUGGGAUUGGGUUAGAGGCCCUCUCCUCAGUAAAGUCCCUCUUGGUUAAAAUGGAUUAAAGGUGACAGGGCCCAACCAGGGGCAAAUUUGACCUUUUCCAGUUCAAUAUUGGGUGCUAACCAGAGUGGCUAAUGUCUAUGUUUUGUCACACAUAUUUUGCUCUGGCCAGAAUGGAAAAUGCUAAUUUGGUUGCUACAUAAAGCUCCUUGGGCAGCAUCUUGCAAAAUGAGGAGGAUUUUGCCUGUGGUUCCAUGAUUUUCCCUUGUGAUGCAGCUUGGUCCCCAGAGGUAUGGUGUGGCAAAGAGGGUUGCUAGGGCUGCUCAUGGAAGAGGAACCCAGAAACCUGACAUGCUGGCAAAAGGGUAAGAAUUUCCUACCAGUCAGGCUUCUGGUCUCUCUUUCUCUGUGCAAACCAGUUGAAUGAAUGACAAAAAUCACUGUUUAUCUCCUCUGUAAAGUUUUGAUUAAUGUGAAAAAGGAUUCUGAGGCUAGUCUUAAACUGUGGUGAAUCUGGUGUAUUUUUGCUAUGAAUUUGUCUUUCUGUGUCAUUCUGUCAUGAAUAGGGGUACCUUAGGAUACCUUAGGAUACAUGGGCUUAGGAUCCCAUAAGCUCACUAUUCAAGGUGGCCCAGCAAGCUGGUCAGUUACAAACUUUGCUGCAGGUCUCUGAAAAAACAAAAGAAAAACUGGAUGAGGUCUGCAUCUUGUUUUAUGUCCUUGGGAGCUUAACCUUGUAACCAUAUGUCAGUACUUUCUUUUGGUUUCUGCCAUUUUACAGUGGUGGCCCAGGUUCAAUCCUGGCUUAGGAAAUGAGUACUUUCUGAUUGGUAUCUGUGUGACAUUUACCAUUUGAUAGUUCUCUUCCCCUCCAUGAACAACUUCUGUCAUCCCUUCUUGAAUUUUUCUGUCUUCAAGCUACCUUCAAAGAUUCUAGAUAUUGUAAAAACUACCUGUGUUCCCAGCCCUAUUUCUUGAAGGAUGCACCCUAAAGCAAGUAAUCCAAUUAAGAAACUUCAAAACUGGCAAGUGAAAAAUCUUACAACUACCAGAUCUUCUUCUGUCUGCCUGUGUAGUUAGGUAUGUGUUGUGUGUGUGAUGUUUAUACAAAAGAACUCUAAUUAACUGGAUUAAAGAAAAAUAAGUGCUUAAAUCAGAUAUUUUGAAAGAAAAAUAAAAACUAAUUCUUUUUAGUUCACAUAACUUUAGUAAUCUUUGGGAAAUAAAAAGUUUUAAAGAUUAUUGGUAAAAUAAGGACAUUUAGUCUAAAUUAGGCAGGUCAGAUAUUAGGUAUUCCAAAGACUUUAAGGUCAUAAACUGCUGUGACUUUUGAAAAUUGUUCAGUUUACCUACCAUGAACACAUUAGAUUCUAGAUAAGGCCUUGGGACGUGUUGAAUUAGCCAUGCCCGCUAGCUAUGCCAAAAAGGUUAUAAAGAAAAGAGUUUAUAUAAGAGAGGAUCCCAUAUGGUAAAUUCAUGUCCUAAAUUAAAAUAACUGGUUGUUUAAAAAGAGGAAUGUUUAGGACAAGCCAGAAAAUCCAAGCAUGUCGUAGACGGUCUGUGUAAGUUGUGAAAUGAUUGAUGAAAGGAAAUGUAUGCACCAAAAGUAAAAGUUCCUAAGAGUUACCAUUAUAACAUGAAAUUAAGACUACUAAAAAAAUAGUUUUAUUAAUACAUGCAAGGUGUAUGAGGAGCGUGAAAUGUGUUUUUGGUUAAAGAUUAUAAGAAGGCAGCCAGGCACUAUGUCUCAAACCUUAAUCCCAGCACUUUGGGAAGCUGAGGUGGGAGGAUCACUUGAGGUCAGGAGUUCAAGACUAGCCUGGUCAACAAGGUGAAACCCCAUCUCUACAAGAAGUACAAAAAUUAGCCCAGUGUGAUGGCACACACCUGUAAUUCCAGAUACUCGGGAGGCUGAGGGAGGAGAAUCUCUUGAACUCCGGAGGUGGAGGUUGCAGUGAGCCAAGAUUGCACCACUGUACUCCUGGUUGAGUGACAUAGUGAGACUCUGUCUCAAAAAAAAAAAAAAAAAAGAUUAUAAGAAGUCAUGGGGAAGUAAAUCUUUGCCAGAGGGUUAGAAGAUUGUUUUAACUUAGAUGAAUCUAAAAAUUUGAACAAGUUGUGGAAGAGUUGUAAAAAUUAACCUUGUAAAAGAAAUUCUCUGUGUGGUAAUUCUGUCUGGGAUAAGUUUCACGUGGUCAUGAUGUGUAAUAUUUUUAAUAUGUUGCUGAGUUUGGGCUGCAAAUAUUUUGUUGACUUUUUGUCUAUAUUCAGAGAAAUAUUGAUACGUGGUUUUCUUUUUUGUGAUAUUUUUGUCUGGAGUUAGCAUUGGGGCAACUCACAAUGAAUUGAAAAUUGUUGCAGCUUCUGAAAUCUUUUUUUUUUUUUUUUUUUAAUUUAUUUUUUUAUUAUACUUUAAGUUUUAGGGUACAUGUGCACAUUGUGCAGGUUAGUUACAUAUGUAUACAUGUGCCAUGCUGGUGCGCUGCACCCACUAACUCGUCAUCUAGCAUUAG
Pan troglodytes (chimpanzee) is the source of this 3604-nucleotide long non-coding RNA. RefSeq lists it as uncharacterized. The transcript is spliced from 4 exons. The record is from RefSeq and is a predicted model, not a curated record. NCBI's taxonomy places the organism in Eukaryota, Metazoa, Chordata, Mammalia, Primates, Hominidae.